UGCUGUACUGGAGGCCUGAGUUCGUCCUUAGACUUUUUUCUUGCUCCUAAUCCUGAGCACAAUAGGAGUAGCAGCUGUAGAGCUGUGGGCCUUCCUGCUACAAGUGGGGGCACCAGGUGAAGGGAUUUUGAAAGAGGCAAUGGCAGAGGGCCUUUCACCUGGGACAGAGCUCUGUCCCAGGGAGCACAGAGGUGCCAGGGCAAUCAGGUAAGAGAAAGAAAUAAAGGUAUUCAAAUAGGAAAGGAGGAAGUCAAAUUGUCACCGUUUGCAGAUAACAUGAUUGUAUAUUUA
Molecule: long non-coding RNA, 291 nt
Filed under: Pan troglodytes (chimpanzee)
Lineage: Eukaryota; Metazoa; Chordata; Mammalia; Primates; Hominidae
Description: long non-coding RNA NONPTRT012199
Source: RNAcentral